Fragaria vesca subsp. vesca is the source of this 353-nucleotide RNA transcript. RefSeq lists it as uncharacterized. The record is from RefSeq and is a predicted model, not a curated record. Lineage: Eukaryota; Viridiplantae; Streptophyta; Magnoliopsida; Rosales; Rosaceae. The transcript has 2 exons.
GAUAUCGAGAUUGACAUUCCUGAAGAGAAACCGAAAGAGCAGAAUAUGUUGGCAGCACUUAAUAAGGAAAAACUGGCAAGCAAGUUUAUGGCCUUUAAAGGUAAAGUAAUGAAACAAAUGAAGACUAAGAGUGAGAAAACUACCCCAAAGGAAGAGCAAAAAGAGAAGGUUGGCUCUGUUGAUGAAAUCAAGAGGAGAUAUGGAUUUUCGUCUGCUAUAAGAACAAUAUACAUACACAUGUCAUUAUGAAUUGCAUAUCCUAUUACUUUAUAUAAAUUGUAGUGUAUAUAGAAUGUCCCAUAGCAUACUCCUUUUCCUACAUUCCUUGAUCACCAUAUUUGCUGAUCAAGCUU